AAAGGAAUUCAUAUGUUAUCUUGCUCAUAAAACACACAGUUAAAAUGCGAACAAAACUAUAGCAAGGCUUGACCUAAUUUUGUUAUUAAAAAAAUAUUGUUCGAAUAAUCAAUUGUACACAUAUCCAAAAUAAAUUAUUGUAAUUACUUAAUACCAUACAUUAGUAUUUUUUGAUUGAAUUAGAAAGGAAUUCAUAUGUUAUCUUGCUCAUAAAACACACAGUUAAAAUGCGAACAAAACUAUAUCAAGGCUGGACCUAAUUUUGUUAUUAAAAAAAUAUUGUUCGAAUAAUCAAUUGUACACAUAUCCA
RNAcentral lists this long non-coding RNA (310 nucleotides) under Mytilus galloprovincialis (Mediterranean mussel). The record is from RNAcentral. Lineage: Eukaryota; Metazoa; Mollusca; Bivalvia; Mytilida; Mytilidae.